CGGCGAUGUCCGAAUGGGGAAACCCAGUGUGAUUCGUCACACUAUCGUUAACUGAAUACAUAGGUUAACGAGGCGAACCGGGGGAACUGAAACAUCUAAGUACCCCGAGGAAAAGAAAUCAACCGAGAUUCCCCCAGUAGCGGCGAGCGAACGGGGAGCAGCCCAGAGUCUGAAUCAGCUUGUGUGUUAGUGGAACGGUCUGGAAAGUCCGACGGUACAGGGUGAUAGUCCCGUACACCAAAAUGCACAGGUUGUGAACUCGAAGAGUAGGGCGGGACACGUGGUAUCCUGUCUGAAUAUGGGGGGACCAUCCUCCAAGGCUAAAUACUCCUGACUGACCGAUAGUGAACCAGUACCGUGAGGGAAAGGCGAAAAGAACCCCGGCGAGGGGAGUGAAAAAGAACCUGAAACCGUGUACGUACAAGCAGUGGGAGCACCUUUAUGGUGUGACUGCGUACCUUUUGUAUAAUGGGUCAGCGACUUAUAUUCUGUAGCAAGGUUAACCGUAUAGGGGAGCCGCAGGGAAACCGAGUCUUAACUGGGCGUUAAGUUGCAGGGUAUAGACCCGAAACCCGGUGAUCUAGCCAUGGGCAGGUUGAAGGUUGGGUAACACUAACUGGAGGACCGAACCGACUAAUGUUGAAAAAUUAGCGGAUGACUUGUGGCUGGGGGUGAAAGGCCAAUCAAACCGGGAGAUAGCUGGUUCUCCCCGAAAGCUAUUUAGGUAGCGCCUCGUGAACUCAUCUUCGGGGGUAGAGCACUGUUUCGGCUAGGGGGUCAUCCCGACUUACCAACCCGAUGCAAACUACGAAUACCGAAGAAUGUUAUCACGGGAGACACACGGCGGGUGCUAACGUCCGUCGUGAAGAGGGAAACAACCCAGACCGCCAGCUAAGGUCCCAAAGUCAUGGUUAAGUGGGAAACGAUGUGGGAAGGCACAGACAGCCAGGAUGUUGGCUUAGAAGCAGCCAUCAUUUAAAGAAAGCGUAAUAGCUCACUGGUCGAGUCGGCCUGCGCGGAAGAUGUAACGGGGCUAAACCAUGCACCGAAGCUGCGGCAGCGACACUAUGUGUUGUUGGGUAGGGGAGCGUUCUGUAAGCCUGCGAAGGUGACCUGUGAGGGUUGCUGGAGGUAUCAGAAGUGCGAAUGCUGACAUAAGUAACGAUAAAGCGGGUGAAAAGCCCGCUCGCCGGAAGACCAAGGGUUCCUGUCCAACGUUAAUCGGGGCAGGGUGAGUCGACCCCUAAGGCGAGGCCGAAAGGCGUAGUCGAUGGGAAACAGGUUAAUAUUCCUGUACUUGGUGUUACUGCGAAGGGGGGACGGAGAAGGCUAUGUUAGCCGGGCGACGGUUGUCCCGGUUUAAGCAUGUAGGCUGGUUAUCCAGGCAAAUCCGGAUAAUCAAGGCUGAGGUGUGAUGACGAGGCACUACGGUGCUGAAGUAACAAAUGCCCUGCUUCCAGGAAAAGCCUCUAAGCAUCAGGUAACAUCAAAUCGUACCCCAAACCGACACAGGUGGUCAGGUAGAGAAUACCAAGGCGCUUGAGAGAACUCGGGUGAAGGAACUAGGCAAAAUGGUGCCGUAACUUCGGGAGAAGGCACGCUGGUGUGUAGGUGAAGUCCCUGCGGAUGGAGCUGAGACCAGUCGAAGAUACCAGCUGGCUGCAACUGUUUAUUAAAAACACAGCACUGUGCAAACACGAAAGUGGACGUAUACGGUGUGACGCCUGCCCGGUGCCGGAAGGUUAAUUGAUGGGGUUAUCCGUAAGGAGAAGCUCUUGAUCGAAGCCCCGGUAAACGGCGGCCGUAACUAUAACGGUCCUAAGGUAGCGAAAUUCCUUGUCGGGUAAGUUCCGACCUGCACGAAUGGCGUAAUGAUGGCCAGGCUGUCUCCACCCGAGACUCAGUGAAAUUGAACUCGCUGUGAAGAUGCAGUGUACCCGCGGCAAGACGGAAAGACCCCGUGAACCUUUACUAUAGCUUGACACUGAACAUUGAGCCUUGAUGUGUAGGAUAGGUGGGAGGCUUUGAAGCGUGGACGCCAGUCUGCGUGGAGCCAACCUUGAAAUACCACCCUUUAAUGUUUGAUGUUCUAACGUUGGCCCCUUAUCGGGGUUGCGGACAGUGUCUGGUGGGUAGUUUGACUGGGGCGGUCUCCUCCCAAAGCGUAACGGAGGAGCACGAAGGUUAGCUAAUCCUGGUCGGACAUCAGGAGGUUAGUGCAAUGGCAUAAGCUAGCUUGACUGCGAGCGUGACGGCGCGAGCAGGUGCGAAAGCAGGUCAUAGUGAUCCGGUGGUUCUGAAUGGAAGGGCCAUCGCUCAACGGAUAAAAGGUACUCCGGGGAUAACAGGCUGAUACCGCCCAAGAGUUCAUAUCGACGGCGGUGUUUGGCACCUCGAUGUCGGCUCAUCACAUCCUGGGGCUGAAGUAGGUCCCAAGGGUAUGGCUGUUCGCCAUUUAAAGUGGUACGCGAGCUGGGUUUAGAACGUCGUGAGACAGUUCGGUCCCUAUCUGCCGUGGGCGCUGGAGAAUUGAGGGGGGCUGCUCCUAGUACGAGAGGACCGGAGUGGACGCAUCACUGGUGUUCGGGUUGUCAUGCCAAUGGCACUGCCCGGUAGCUAAAUGCGGAAGAGAUAAGUGCUGAAAGCAUCUAAGCACGAAACUUGCCCCGAGAUGAGUUCU
This 2680-nucleotide ribosomal RNA is filed under the name Klebsiella quasipneumoniae. Its description in RNAcentral is "bacterial LSU rRNA". It matches the Rfam family "Bacterial large subunit ribosomal RNA". Lineage: Bacteria; Pseudomonadati; Pseudomonadota; Gammaproteobacteria; Enterobacterales; Enterobacteriaceae. The record is from RNAcentral.